This 446-nucleotide ribosomal RNA is filed under the name uncultured bacterium. RNAcentral's name for it is "bacterial SSU rRNA". It matches the Rfam family "Bacterial small subunit ribosomal RNA", at positions 330 to 793 of the family's 1533-position model. The record is from RNAcentral.
UCCAGACUCCUACGGGAGGCAGCAGUGGGGAAUAUUGCACAAUGGGGGAAACCCUGAUGCAGCAACGCCGCGUGAGUGAAGAAGUAUUUCGGUAUGUAAAGCUCUCUCAGCAGGGAAGAAAAUGACGGUACCUGAGUAAGAAGCCCCGGCUAACUACGUGCCAGCAGCCGCGGUAAUACGUAGGGGGCAAGCGUUAUCCGGAUUUACUGGGUGUAAAGGGAGCGUAGACGGCCAGACAAGUCUGAAGUGAAAAUCCAGCGCUUAACGUUGGAAGUGCUUUGGAAACUGCCGGGCUAGAGUGCAGGAGGGGCAGGCGGAAUUCCUAGUGUAGCGGUGAAAUGCGUAGAUAUUAGGAGGAACACCAGUGGCGAAGGCGGCCUGCUGGACUGCAACUGACGUUGAGGCUCGAAGGCGUGGGGAGCAAACAGGAUUAGAUACCCUGGUAA